RNAcentral lists this long non-coding RNA (1029 nucleotides) under Coturnix japonica (Japanese quail). RNAcentral describes it as "lncRNA (ENSCJPG00005011699.1)". The record is from RNAcentral. Lineage: Eukaryota; Metazoa; Chordata; Aves; Galliformes; Phasianidae.
AACGUACGCAGCGGGGGCCGCCUCGGCUCCUGCGCGCGGCGGCGGCGGCCCCGCAGCGCCCUCCUGCGGCAACAGCCGGGGUUGGCGGAGCGGCGAGGAGAGAAAGGGAGAAGGGGCAGUAAUGGCGGCCGGCUAGUGCGCGGCUCAGCCGGGGAGGCGGCGGCGGCAGCGGGAGGAGUCGGCGCGGUUCUGUCUCGUGGUUCUGCCCGGCGGAGCGGCGUCCCCAAAGGACUUCUUCUCCUUCUUCCCCCUCCCCUUCCCUUUCCCUCCCUGCCCGAGCCCCCGCCUGUCCUCCCUCCCUCCCUUCUCCCUCCGCACCGGCGGCAGCGGCAGCAGCAGCGGCGGCGGCGGGUCCCCCCGCGUCCCCGUUCCCGGGGCCAUGGUGAACACCAGGAAGAGCUCCUUGCGCCCCCUGGGCAAAGCGGCGUCCGCAGCGGCCGGAGCCGGCAGCCAUUUCAUCUCGUCCCGGACCCGCUCUUCCAAAAGAGGCACCAAGGCAGAUACGGCCGGGAUAGAAGAGACGGCGGCGGCGAGGGUGAGGGUUGGCGGCGGGGAGCGGGCAGCGGACAACGUACGAGGAGAAGGGAACUGCGGGCGGAGGGGGGGGCGGCGGGCGGCGGCCGGGAACGGCUGAGGACAGCGCCGCUGCCACGGGGGGGGGAUCCGAGACGGUGCCGAGCUGAGCGGAGGAGGGGGAGCGGAGGGACGGCGGGGCGUGAGGGGACGAGGCGUUGUGUGGGUGGGGGGACAGGGAGGGGGGGAAACACGCGUUGUAGGGAAACCGCCGAGCGGGCGGCCCCUGCCAACAGGGUCAGGGGGCGGCCGAGGACACGGGAGGCGAAGUUGCGGCGGGGCCGCGGCGCUGAGGCUGGGCCGGCACGGCGGGCGGGGGCCGCGAUGCGGGCGGAGCGCCCCAUGCGGCACCGAGCGGAGCUGCGACGCCGCCAGACAAAAGUUGGGAGCCCCGCCGGCAGCAACUUGGCGAUCGUCACUCCCUCCUCGCUUCUUUUCCUUUUGCUUUUAUCGUAA